This 659-nucleotide long non-coding RNA is filed under the name Phaseolus vulgaris (common bean). Its description in RNAcentral is "long non-coding RNA (PVUL_LNC003197)". The record is from RNAcentral. Lineage: Eukaryota; Viridiplantae; Streptophyta; Magnoliopsida; Fabales; Fabaceae.
UCGCGCAAGUGCGAGAAGGAGGAGAAGGCGGAGAAGCUCAAGGUGAAGAAGGCGAUCGAGAAAGGCAACAUGGAUGGCGCGCGGAUCUACGCGGAGAACGCGAUCCGUAAGCGUACGGAGCAGAUGAACUACCUUCGCUUGGCCUCACGCCUCGACGCCGUGGUGGCGCGGCUUGAUACGCAGGCGAAGAUGGCGACGAUCAGCAAGUCGAUGGGAAACAUCGUGAAAUCGCUGGAGUCGUCGCUGGCGACGGGGAACUUGCAGAAGAUGUCGGAGACGAUGGACCAGUUCGAGAAGCAGUUCGUGAACAUGGAGGUCCAGGCGGAGUUCAUGGAGAGCGCCAUGGCCGGAUCGACCUCUCUCUCCACUCCCGAAGGAGAGGUCAACAGCCUCAUGCAGCAGGUCGCCGACGACUACGGUCUCGAGGUUUCCGUCGGCCUCCCUCAGCCCGCCGCUCACGCCGUUCCGACCAAGGAAGCCGACAAGGUCGACGAGGACGACUUGUCUCGCCGCCUCGCCGAACUCAAGGCUAGAGGUUAACUUAAUUAAUUAAUCAAUUAAUACUAUCACAUCAUCAUCACCAUCAUCAUCACUAUCACUAUCCUUUUCCAUCGCAUAUGCAGCAGUGUUAUGUUUUCUGUAUAUUAAUCCGAAUUCAG